Molecule: long non-coding RNA, 1614 nt
Filed under: Sus scrofa (pig)
Lineage: Eukaryota; Metazoa; Chordata; Mammalia; Artiodactyla; Suidae
Description: lncRNA (ENSSSCG00000062007.1, ENSSSCG00105006413.1, ENSSSCG00130033971.1, ENSSSCG00160005760.1)
Source: RNAcentral
AAAGAUAGGGAAAGGGGGAAGGAAGAGAAGGGAAAGAAGAUAUAGAAGGGCAAAGAAUGGUAAAAAGGACCCAGACACAUGCACGCACACACAAAACCAUGUUAUAUGCAUCUAACCUUUAUAUACAUUUUGGUGUUUACCUUAAAGUGCUUUGGGUUUUUGUUUGUUUUUAUUUGGGUACACAUCUAUGAAAUAUUACACAGAUACUACUGCAAAGAGGACUUAAAUAUGUCAUUACGCUAUUUGUUUUAAAACCAUUCCUUAUUUUCAAAAAUGAAGCUAUUUAAGAGAAGUGGGAGUUCCCAUCAUGGCUCAGCAGUUAAUGAAUCUGACUAGUAUCCCUGAGGAUGCAGUUAUGAUCCCUGACCUUGCUCAGUGGGUUAAGGAUCUGGCAUUGCCAUGAGCUGUGGUUUAUGUCACAGACGUGGCUAAGAUCCUGAGUUUCUGUGGCUGUGGCAUAGGCUAGCAGCUACAACUCCAAUUCUACCCCUAGCCUGGAAAUCUCCAUAUGCCGAAGGUGUGGCCCUAAAACAGCAGGAAAAAAAAAGAGAGAGAGAGAGAAGUAUUUUGUACCUCAAAAAAGGCAUAAAUAAAAUUGUUCUUUGACUGCUGGUUAAGGUCACUUUGGAACUUGAAGCUAUUUUCAUUUCUGUGUAUUCCAGUGCCAACAGUAACUGUUAAGUGUUUGGGACUAUCAUGCAGCAAAGGGAGAAAUGGCAGAAGAAUUUUGACAAACUGAAGGGAUUUGUCACAAGCAGACAGGAAGAGGGAACAUGUGUUUCUGAGAAAGUGUGUCCUGAGGUUUCUAGAGGAGGCUGCCAGCUUGAGAACACAGCAAGAGCUGUCUCCCCAGAACAUUCACCUUGUCUGUAUCGGCUAGCCAGCUCCCCACACAGGAUGUCCACCUUCUAACUCCUCCAAAGGAAAGUAAUGUCAAUCAUUGGAAAGCAAAAAACAAACAAACAAAAACAACAACAAAAAACCCCCACAAAAAACCAAAAAACUAAAACUCACUGCAAGUGUAAAACAUAUAAAACAUAGAACCUCCAUGCUAUGAAAUCUACAAUGAGUCACAUGGUAAUGUAGGCUUGCACCCAAAAGGCUGAAAGGAAACUCACCAAAUGUUAAGAGGUUAUCUCUAUAAAGGUGGAAUUAAGAUGAUUUUGUUUUUUUCUUUAUAUGUGUCUGUAUAUCACAGAGAGAACAUACUAUAACAAAAAGAAGAAUUAUUUUCAUGGAUAACCUAGAGAAGAAACAAGAUUAAGAUGUAAUUAACCAUAAAGUUCAGGUUACUUCCCCAUACUUAGAUCUCAACAAAAAUCUUUGUCUUGGACUCCUUAAAAUUCAGAGUUCUUAUCAAGAAAACGAAAAGGAGGAGUUCCCGUUGCGGUGCAGUGGUUAACGAAUCCAACUAGGAACCAUGAGGUUGCGGGUUCAAUCCCUCACCUUGCUCAGUGGGUUAAGGACCUGGCGUUGCCGUGAGCUGUGGUGUAGGUUGCAGACACGGCUCGGAUCCUGCGUUGCUGUGGCUCUGGUGUAGACCAGCGGCUAUAGCUCCAAUUAGACUCCUAGCCUGGGAACCUCCAUAUGCCGCGAGAGCAGCCCUAGAAAAAG